Molecule: long non-coding RNA, 216 nt
Filed under: Elaeis guineensis (African oil palm)
Lineage: Eukaryota; Viridiplantae; Streptophyta; Magnoliopsida; Arecales; Arecaceae
Description: long non-coding RNA (EGUI_LNC069936)
Source: RNAcentral
CAGGUAUCCACAUGAAACACGAUCAGAUCAACCUUCUUGGAGUGCUAGCUCCUUGCAAAGGCCCUUUGUAGCUGAUCAAUCGAAAAAGAAGAGGUUGGUGGAAGAAGGCAAGGGAGAACUCCUUCUCUUUUGAUUUUUUUCUCACCCAAACCCUAGAACCCCUCAUCUUAGGAGGAGACACCUCUCCUUAAUUUUUCUCUUGCCCAAAAGGAGAUG